RNAcentral lists this ribosomal RNA (255 nucleotides) under uncultured bacterium. RNAcentral's name for it is "partial 16S ribosomal RNA". It matches the Rfam family "Bacterial small subunit ribosomal RNA", at positions 145 to 400 of the family's 1533-position model. The record is from RNAcentral.
AACAUACCGAAAGGUAUGCUAAUACGAGAUAAUAUGCUUUUAUCGCAUGGUAGAAGUAUCAAAGCUCCGGCGGUACAGGAUGGACCCGCGUCUGAUUAGCUAGUUGGUGAGGUAACGGCUCACCAAGGCGACGAUCAGUAGCCGACCUGAGAGGGUGAUCGGCCACAUUGGAACUGAGACACGGUCCAAACUCCUACGGGAGGUAGCAGUGGGGAAUAUUGCACAGGGGGCGAAAGCCUGAUGCAGCAACGCCGC